Molecule: ribosomal RNA, 116 nt
Filed under: Pteropus alecto (black flying fox)
Lineage: Eukaryota; Metazoa; Chordata; Mammalia; Chiroptera; Pteropodidae
Source: RNAcentral
AUCUAUGGCCAUGCCACCCUGAACAAGCCUGAUGUCUGAUCUCGGAAGCUAAGCAGGGUUGGGCCUGGUUAGCACUGGAAUGGGAGACCACCUAGGAAGACCAGGUGCUGUAGACA